UAGGGAAUCUUCCGCAAUGGACGCAAGUCUGACGGAGCAACGCCGCGUGAGUGAAGAAGGAUUUCGGUUCGUAAAACUCUGUUGUUAGAGAAGAACAGCGCAUAGAGUAACUGUUAUGCGUGUGACGGUAUCUAACCAGAAAGCCACGGCUAACUACGUGCCAGCAGCCGCGGUGAUACGUAGGUGGCAAGCGUUGUCCGGAUUUAUUGGGCGUAAAGCGAGCGCAGGCGGUCAAUUAAGUCUGAUGUGAAAGCCCCCGGCUCAACCGGGGAGGGUCAUUGGAAACUGGUUGACUUGAGUGCAGAAGAGGAGAGUGGAAUUCCAUGUGUAGCGGUGAAAUGCGUAGAUAUAUGGAGGAACACCAGUGGCGAAGGCGACUCUCUGGUCUGUAACUGACACUGAGGCUCGAAAGCGUGGGUAGCAAACAGG
This 429-nucleotide ribosomal RNA is filed under the name Bacteroidota bacterium. RNAcentral describes it as "Bacteroidetes bacterium partial 16S ribosomal RNA". It matches the Rfam family "Bacterial small subunit ribosomal RNA", at positions 355 to 776 of the family's 1533-position model. Lineage: Bacteria; Pseudomonadati; Bacteroidota. The record is from RNAcentral.